AGCGCGGGUCAGGGAACUCCGGGUUGGGGUGCGGGCUUGAGAAAUCAGGGAAAUGAUUUGAGGGAAAAACUUUAUUGUUUCUAGAAGAGCCUCGAAGCAAUCACCGGAUGGGAAACCAGCUGGACGUCGUACUUACUUUCCGGUGAAUUGUCUGGUUGCUCAUCAAAAAUCAAUUGACUACAGAUGCGAAGGAGUCUGCAUGCUGACCGUGUUGCUGGCCAGCCUCAUGAGUGUAAGCUCUCUGACCACAUUCUGGAUUGUUACAGGAAACCUCGGUUUUUUGAAGGCUUGUAAGGCCUUCACGUGAUGAGACCCACCCUUUGAGUAAUCUUUACUUAAAGGCAAGUCAGCCACACCUAUAAGUAGCUUCACAACAUGUGUGGACUAAAUCACCAGUUUGAUCGAAUGACUGCACACUACGGCCUGGGCAGGUUGACACGUGAGACCAACUGUCACGGCCCACCUUCUUUUGACUUGGUACCCACAGCUCUGCUGUAGCCAUGUUGAGUCUCUAAGUGAAGACAGUAAGUAAGAGAGUCGUUCUCCCUCCUAAUGAGACAUGCGGACACUGUCCCCAGGGCAUGCAGAGUGCUGGGGUGAUGCUUACUUUUCUCCUUGACGACCUGUAACUUAAACCCUGUGAUGUGAGGGUAACAGUUAUUUGUGUAUCUUAUGGUCUAUGUUAUGCUAUACGGUAAGAAGAUAAAGGAAGGGAAGAAAAGAAAUGUAUUUGAUGCGUGCACAAGUGUGUGCGUGCAGUCUACAGUCACGAGGUUGGUGAACUUUUUCUCCUCUUGCAGCACCAGUGCCAGCUCGACUGCCAACUCCCAAGCUGGCACCACUGUCAGCGCCAGAUCUUGUACCAG
Molecule: long non-coding RNA, 866 nt
Organism: Orcinus orca (killer whale)
Lineage: Eukaryota; Metazoa; Chordata; Mammalia; Artiodactyla; Delphinidae
Exons: 4
Source: RefSeq, a predicted model, not a curated record